ACACGUAAUUUUAUACUCCCCAAGAAACAAACCCCCCAGUUGUAGUUGCUCCCUGCAGUCUUAUUAGUGGCGACGAGGAAAAAACGAACCGACGGAUCACCGCAGCUACUGGAUCGUAUCAGCCUUUGCCGACGGAAAACCAACAGGAGACGGCGGCUGUUGUUUCGAUUGCCGACAUAGGGGCAUCUGCACAGUGGACCGUCUGUGCGGCGGUAGUGGUUUAAUUUUGAUCUUUUCCUUUUCGCUCCGCUGGAAGGUUUUCUGGUUCCUUUACCUGGGAAUCGUGGUGAGAGUAAAGGAUUCAUCGGAUCAUGGUUGGAAACGAGGCGACAACAACGUCCCAUCCUAAUCAGAUCAGAAUCCUUGAGGAUGGACAUGGAGUUACGGGUCUGUCGAAGCGGGUAAUGCGAGUGGUCGAGACUGGUCGUCCGCUAUCGACUGUCGAGAUUCCCGAGAAUGGUCGACCGUUGUGGACUGCAGCAGAACGCAUGAUGAAACCCGUACUGAACGAGAGCGAUAUCUGGCAAUUACCAGGUCAUAGCAAUGGAAGCGCCUCGAACCAACGCAAGUUAUUGAAGAAUAAGAAUAGGAAAAGAAAAUUUCCGUCAGAGCCGGUAGAGCUUUCUGGCCUACCUAGGCGUUCAAUAAGAAUUAGAAAGGUUAGAUUUAAAAGUGAAUAUCGUUGUCAUUGGAUUCUUGAAUUUUUGUUCAGUCUGAGUCUCUUUUCCUUCUGAAGGGGGAAGAGCUGAUGUAUACUGUAAAUUUGAUUACAAACAUCUUUCCGUGUAUUCAGCAGUUCAGCAAGCGCAGCGCGCAACACUGCUGUUAUUUACUUAAUAAAUAAAUCAGAGCCAGGAGCUCUCUUCUGUUUUACACCUCGAACGAACUACACGUAAUUUUAUACUCCCCAAGAAACAAACCCCCCAGUUGUAGUUGCUCCCUGCAGUCUUAUUACCGUCGUGCGGGGCUUCUUUUGACAAAUCAGGGGCCACUAUGGACAUUUUAAAACAAGAAUUACAACGAAAAUUAUUAUAAAACUGUCAUUAUUGUUGGAAAUAAAUUUAGUGUGCAACCGUCACCCCUCGCAUUCGAGACUACUUUUAUGCUACGGCCAAAUAGACACACUAUGGUUGUUGUGUUGUCGAAUUUAUUGUUUAUAAUUUUGUUUGUGAAUAAAUCGUAUUCGUUCGUGUGAAGUCCAA
Long non-coding RNA from Armigeres subalbatus, 1202 nucleotides. RefSeq lists it as uncharacterized. The transcript has 3 exons. NCBI's taxonomy places the organism in Eukaryota, Metazoa, Arthropoda, Insecta, Diptera, Culicidae. The record is from RefSeq and is a predicted model, not a curated record.